RNAcentral lists this ribosomal RNA (432 nucleotides) under uncultured bacterium. RNAcentral describes it as "partial 16S ribosomal RNA". It matches the Rfam family "Bacterial small subunit ribosomal RNA", at positions 29 to 507 of the family's 1533-position model. The record is from RNAcentral.
GCGAACGCUGGCGGCAGGCUUAACACAUGCAAGUCGAGCGGGCCCUUCGGGGUCAGCGGCGGACGGGUGAGUAACGCGUGGGAACGUGCCUUCUGGUCUGGAAUAACCCUGGGAAACUAGGGCUAAUACCGGAUACGCCCUUUUGGGGAAAGGUUUACUGCCGGAAGAUCGGCCCGCGUCUGAUUAGCUAGUUGGUGGGGUAACGGCCUACCAAGGCGACGAUCAGUAGCUGGUCUGAGAGGAUGAUCAGCCACACUGGGGCUGAGACACGGCCCAGACUCCUACGGGAGGCAGCAGUGGGGAAUAUUGGACAAUGGGCGCAAGCCUGAUCCAGCCAUGCCGCGUGAGUGAUGAAGGCCUUAGGGUUGUAAAGCUCUUUUAUCCGGGACGAUAAUGACGGUACCGGAGGAAUAAGCCCCGGCUAACUUCGUG